This 253-nucleotide ribosomal RNA is filed under the name uncultured bacterium. Its description in RNAcentral is "partial 16S ribosomal RNA". It matches the Rfam family "Bacterial small subunit ribosomal RNA", at positions 524 to 776 of the family's 1533-position model. The record is from RNAcentral.
UACGUAGGGGGCGAGCGUUAUUCGGAAUUACUGGGCGUAAAGCGCGCGUAGGCGGCCUGCUAAAACAGGGGUGAAAUCCCUGGGCUCAACCUAGGAAAUGCUCUUGUGAUUGCCUGGCUAGAGUACGGUAGAGGGGGGUGGAAUUCCCGGUGUAGCAGUGAAAUGCGUAGAUAUCAGGAAGAACUCCGAUGGCGAAGGCAGCCCCCUGGGCUAGUACUGACGCUCAGGCGCGACAGCGAGGGGAGCGAACAGG